GAUUAACGCUGGCGGCGUGCAUAACACAUGCAAGUCGAACGAUGAAACUUUUUUGAUUUCUUCGGCAUGAUUCAAAGUGGAUUAGUGGCGGACGGGUGAGUAACGCCUGAGUAACCUGCCUUAGAGAAGGGGAUAGCCUUUGGAAACGAAGAAUAAUACCCUAUGAAACCAUAACCUCGCAUGAGGAAUUGGUCAAAGAUUUAUCGCUCUAAGAUGGACUUGCGUCUGAUUAGUUAGUUGGUGGGGUAACGGCCCACCAAGACAGCGAUCAGUAGCCGGCUUGAGAGAGUGUACGGCCACAUUGGGACUGAGACACGGCCCAGACUCCUACGGGAGGCAGCAGUGGGGAAUUUUGCACAAUGGGGGAAACCCUGAUGCAGCGACGCCGCGUGAUUUAGAAGGCCUUCGGGUUGUAAAAAUCUUUUCUAUGGGAAGAAAAUGACAGUACCAUAGGAAUAAGGACCGGCUAAUUACGUG
This 477-nucleotide ribosomal RNA is filed under the name uncultured bacterium. RNAcentral describes it as "partial 16S ribosomal RNA". It matches the Rfam family "Bacterial small subunit ribosomal RNA", at positions 28 to 507 of the family's 1533-position model. The record is from RNAcentral.